GACGAACGCUGGCGGCGUGCUUAACACAUGCAAGUCGAACGGAAAGGCCCUGCUUUUGUGGGGUGCUCGAGUGGCGAACGGGUGAGUAACACGUGAGUAACCUGCCCUUGACUUUGGGAUAACUUCAGGAAACUGGGGCUAAUACCGGAUAGGAGCUCCUGCUGCAUGGUGGGGGUUGGAAAGUUUCGGCGGUUGGGGUUAGACUCGCGGCUUAUCAGCUUGUUGGUGGGGUAGUGGCUUACCAAGGCUUUGACGGGUAGCCGGCCUGAGAGGGUGACCGGCCACAUUGGGACUGAGAUACCGCCCAGACUCCUACGGGAGGCAGCAGUGGGGAAUAUUGCACAAUGGGCGGAAGCCUGAUGCAGCAACGCCGCGUGCGGGAUGACGGCCUUCGGGUUGUAAACCGCUUUCGCCUGUGACGAAGCGUGAGUGACGGUAAUGGGUAAAGAAGCACCGGCUAACUACGUG
Molecule: ribosomal RNA, 468 nt
Filed under: uncultured bacterium
Lineage: Bacteria
Description: partial 16S ribosomal RNA
Rfam family: Bacterial small subunit ribosomal RNA
Source: RNAcentral